RNAcentral lists this ribosomal RNA (656 nucleotides) under uncultured bacterium. RNAcentral's name for it is "bacterial SSU rRNA". It matches the Rfam family "Bacterial small subunit ribosomal RNA", at positions 47 to 710 of the family's 1533-position model. The record is from RNAcentral.
GAUUAGGCAUGCAAGUCGUGCGGCAGCAGGCCCCGCAAGGGGUGCUGGCGAGCGGCGUAAGGGAGAGUAACACGCGGGUACCUACCCUCAGGACCGGGAUAGCUGCGGGAAACUGCAAUUAAUACCGGAUGAUGUCUCCGGACCAAAGGUGUAAUUCCUCCGGAGGAGGGGCCCACGUCCUAUCAGCUAGUUGGAGAGGUAACGGCUCACCAAGGCGACGACGGGUACGGGGUGUGAGAGCAUGCCCCCGCUCACUGGGACUGAGACACUGCCCAGACACCUACGGGUGGCUGCAGUCGAGAAUCUUCCGCAAUGGGCGAAAGCCUGACGGAGCGACGCCGCGUGCGGGAUGAAGGCCUUCGGGUUGUAAACCGCUGUCAGUGGGGAGCAAAUGCACGGGGGUUCUCCCUUGUGCUUGAGCGAUCCGCAGAGGAAGCGCAGGCUAAGUUCGUGCCAGCAGCCGCGGUAACACGAACUGCGCAAACGUUAUUCGGAAUCACUGGGCUUAAAGAGUUCGUAGGCGGCGCGUUAAGUCGGGUGUGAAAUCCCUCGGCUCAACCGAGGAAUUGCGCCCGAAACUGGCGUGCUUGAGUAAGAUAGAGGUGAGCGGAACUGAUGGUGGAGCGGUGAAAUGCGUUGAUAUCAUCAGGAACACC